GGACUACCCGGGUAUCUAAUCCUGUUUGCUCCCCACGCUUUCGUGCCUCAGCGUCAGAUAUGGACCAAGAAGCUGCCUUCGCCAUUGGUAUUCCUCUCGAGAUCUACGCAUUUUACCGCUACUCCGAGAAUUCUACUUCUCUCUUCCAUCCUCAAGCAUACCAGUUUCUACCGCCGACUUUCAGUUAAGCUGAAAAAUUUAACAAUUGACUUAGUACGCCGCCUACGCACCCUUUACACCCAAUCAUUCCGAAUAACGUUCGCACCCCUCGUCUUACCGCGGCGGCUGGCAC
Molecule: ribosomal RNA, 292 nt
Filed under: uncultured bacterium
Lineage: Bacteria
Description: partial 16S ribosomal RNA
Source: RNAcentral